GCCGGGAACUCAAAGGAGACUGCCAGUGAUAAACUGGAGGAAGGUGGGGAUGACGUCAAGUCAUCAUGGCCCUUACGACCAGGGCUACACACGUGCUACAAUGGCGCAUACAAAGAGAAGCGACCUCGCGAGAGCAAGCGGACCUCAUAAAGUGCGUCGUAGUCCGGAUUGGAGUCUGCAACUCGACUCCAUGAAGUCGGAAUCGCUAGUAAUCGUGGAUCAGAAUGCCACGGUGAAUACGUUCCCGGGCCUUGUACACACCGCCCGUCACACCAUGGGAGUGGGUUGCAAAAGAAGUAGGUAGCUUAACCUUCGGGAGGGCGCUUACCACUUUGUGAUUCAUGACUGGGGUGAAGUCGUAACAAGGUAACCGUAGGGGAACCUGC
RNAcentral lists this ribosomal RNA (386 nucleotides) under Salmonella enterica subsp. enterica serovar Infantis. Its description in RNAcentral is "bacterial SSU rRNA". It matches the Rfam family "Bacterial small subunit ribosomal RNA", at positions 1130 to 1515 of the family's 1533-position model. The record is from RNAcentral. RNAcentral also lists the same sequence under 2 other names. Lineage: Bacteria; Pseudomonadati; Pseudomonadota; Gammaproteobacteria; Enterobacterales; Enterobacteriaceae.